CUAGUCUUGCCGGUGGAUCACUCGGCUCGUGGAUCGAUGAAGAUCGCAGCCAAAUGCGAUAGCUCUUGCGAACUGCAGAUAUUCUGAGCAUCAAGAAAUCGAAUGCACAUUGCGCCCCGGGAGUUUAUCCCUUGCACAUCUGGUUCAGGGUCGUUU
This 156-nucleotide ribosomal RNA is filed under the name Sphaeronema alni. RNAcentral describes it as "5.8S ribosomal RNA". It matches the Rfam family "5.8S ribosomal RNA". Rfam says of the family: 5.8S ribosomal RNA (5.8S rRNA) is a component of the large subunit of the eukaryotic ribosome. The record is from RNAcentral. Lineage: Eukaryota; Metazoa; Nematoda; Chromadorea; Rhabditida; Sphaeronematidae.